RNAcentral lists this ribosomal RNA (382 nucleotides) under Tropidophorus microlepis. RNAcentral's name for it is "partial 12S rRNA". It matches the Rfam family "Bacterial small subunit ribosomal RNA", at positions 794 to 1384 of the family's 1533-position model. Lineage: Eukaryota; Metazoa; Chordata; Lepidosauria; Squamata; Scincidae. The record is from RNAcentral.
GCUCAGCCCUUAACACAGACAAUACCUAUACAACAUUGCCCGCCAGAAGAUUACUAGCGAAAAGCUAAAAACUCCAAGGACUUGGCGGUGCUUCAUAUCAACCUAGAGGAGCCUGUCCUAUAAUCGAUACCCCACGCUUUACCCCACCACCCCUAGCAACUUCAGCCUAUAUACCGCCGUCGAAAGCUUACCUUAUGAAAGAAACAAAGUCAGCACAACAGUUAAUAACUAACACGUCAGGUCAAGGUGUAGCCCAUGGGGCGGUAGAGAUGGGCUACAUUUUUUCAAAAGACACGAAUAAUACAAUGAAAUACGUGUUUGAAGGCGGAUUUAGAAGUAAGAUGAUUAAGAAAAACCAUCUUAAAUCUGCUGUGAAGCGCGC